This is a non-coding RNA of Caerostris darwini, 112 nucleotides long. The record is from the annotation of a GenBank genome assembly. Lineage: Eukaryota; Metazoa; Arthropoda; Arachnida; Araneae; Araneidae.
AACGGCCAUACCAUGCUGAAUAUACCGGUUCUCGUUAGAUCACCGAAGUCAAGCAUCAUUGGGCGCGGUCAGUACUUGGGUGGGUGACAAGCUGGGAACACCGCGUGCCGUU